RNAcentral lists this transfer RNA (108 nucleotides) under Kalmanozyma brasiliensis GHG001. It matches the Rfam family "tRNA". From Rfam's summary of the family: Transfer RNA (tRNA) molecules are approximately 80 nucleotides in length. Lineage: Eukaryota; Fungi; Basidiomycota; Ustilaginomycetes; Ustilaginales. The record is from Rfam by way of RNAcentral.
GCGCUCUUGGCGCAGUGGUAGCGCGUGUCUCUCCUACACGCAUACGUAUUGAAACGUGUAAACAUUCUCCCCAAGACGAGGUCGUGGGUUCGACCCCCACAGGGCGCU